RNAcentral lists this unclassified non-coding RNA (1137 nucleotides) under Hevea brasiliensis (rubber tree). Lineage: Eukaryota; Viridiplantae; Streptophyta; Magnoliopsida; Malpighiales; Euphorbiaceae. The record is from RNAcentral.
AAAAAAAUAAUAAUAAUAAUUAUGUUUAGUUGUGAAGUUUGUGAGGUUGGAAACAGGAAAUAAAUGAUUAACACUUGUACUCAUUUGCUAAACAUGCGGGAUCUUCCAUGUCUAAAAGGAAUGUGUUUAUGAAAUUAAAAGUUGUAAUUUUGUUCUGCAUUUUUUAAUGCACUACUAUUGUAUGCAAUAAGAAGCUUAAAUCUUAAAUUAGGAAGAACAAUGUGGUUAUCAGCAAGCACUAUAAAGCACAUUCUUCAUUCUGAAUCAGAAUUGCCUUCGUACAAUUUAGUUUGGUUGCCUUACUUCAAGUUCUGUUUAUAUGCCUUUCAUUCCAUUUGCUAUUUAAGUUGUCAUCUACUAUAUUUGUAGCUUAUGUGGUUAUUAAUGAAAUUUGACUGCUCACUGCAAUUUUAUCAUCUGUUUUGUCUUCGACCCUUAUAGUGGCCCCUUUUUUCUUUUUCAUCACGCUUCCAUUGAGUUCCUGUCACAGUUAAAUAACUUUGCAUCCUUUAUUAUCUCUUCUUUCUCUCUUUUAUUAAGUUUAACUUUAGACUUGUCAUGUCAUGCUUAGGUGGAAAUUAGUGCAAACAUGAAUUUUGCUAAUUUUCAUAAUUAUCUAAGUUAAAAUUAUCAAAAUUCAUGUUAGAACUAACAAGCAGUCACAGUUAAAACUCUUUUUUCCAUUAUUCCCUCUCUUUUAGAAUGAUCUAGGUUGCAUGAAUUUUUUAAUUUUCUCCUUCCUUGGUUGGUAUUACUCAAUCACAAAGAAUAGUUCAACUCUAGAGAGAUUUUCACUAGUCAGUGACUGCUUUUUGGUCCUUAAAGUCUACCAGUAAAAUUCUCAGCAAUUAUCAUAGACGCUUGGUCAUUAUCUAACAAAAAUGUAAAGAGAAAAUGUGAAUCACUUUGCACCCUUGCUUUCCAUGAUGGCAAUGAUUGCUAUUUACUAUUCACUAAUUUUAUAGUUGCAGGAUAUCAGGAAGAGUGUCCACUCCAGUAGUUAUGAAUAGUAAUUUAUGACCCAGUGGGCAAACAAGUUAAUGUUAUUUAAGAUCUGCUAUUGCUCGAGGCAACUUUCAACUUUGUAAGACAGCAUAAUUUGGACUAAAUUGUUGACACAAUUGUGCCGGUAGAUGU